This 220-nucleotide unclassified non-coding RNA is filed under the name Hevea brasiliensis (rubber tree). The record is from RNAcentral. Lineage: Eukaryota; Viridiplantae; Streptophyta; Magnoliopsida; Malpighiales; Euphorbiaceae.
AAAAUACUUUGGAACAUUUUGUAAUUUGCGAAGGAGAUUUUUGCCUUCCUCAGCUACUUCCAUGACAUACACAUUGUAGCGUUCAAAUACCUUAUCACUACAGCUAUCUUUCAACUUCCAAAUGAUGUGAACGUCAAGGGUCUUUGUUCCACCUGGACUUGUAGUCCUUCUAACAUAUGGACUUUCAACUAGCCAUGAACUAGAAGGAGGAAGAUCUGGU